Molecule: long non-coding RNA, 1701 nt
Organism: Heterocephalus glaber (naked mole-rat)
Lineage: Eukaryota; Metazoa; Chordata; Mammalia; Rodentia; Bathyergidae
Source: Ensembl
GCAAACAUCUUAGAACUUUCACCUAUAAUUUUUUGGAGGGGAGGGUUGUUGUUGUCUUGCUGCUGGGGGUUGAACCCAGGACCAUCACACUGACAACAUCCUCAGUCUUCUUUUUUUUUUUGAGACAGGGUCUCACUAAAUCGCUAUAUUGGCAAGGCUUGAAUUUAUGAUCCUCCUGCUCAGCCUCCCAGAAUGCUGGGAUCACAAGUGUGUGCUGCCCUGCCUGGCUACUGUCAAGACUGGUGCUUGUCUGUGGAUUUGCCACCAUGUCUGGCUAUUCUCUUAUUUCAUUGCCAACCAGCUGCCUUUACUUCUUGGGCCCUAUCGUUUUCAACUACCGCUGGACUUGACAUCCCCUAGGAGACUUUCCUGAGGUCAGGUUGGCCUCUCCUGGGCAGGUGACCCAAGGACUUCAAGGAGCAUGUGGGUGAGAUGAAGAAGAGAAACUUCUAAAGAGAGGGUUGUGCUGGGGGCCAAGCUGGGGCGGCCUGAGACACAGCCCCUGAGCCAGGAGGGACGUCUCCCCUCCCAAAGCAAAGCAAAGGGACAGUGGCUCCCGGAGUGGUCUCUGAUACGCUCAUGAGAUUUCUUGGCUUGGGGUUGCCAGGUUCGCAUCAUAGCUGGACCUGAGCAUGGAGAUGAUAGGAUGUGAGCUGAGCAACAUCUGGGGCCAACUGGCCCUGCAACUGGACAUGUGAGGUGAGGGCACUGGGGAUGAAGGUUCCCACGCACAGGUGGAUGGUGCAGCAUGGGCACUGGGCCUCAGGAUGCCAGGAGCUUUCCAGCUGGCAGAAAGCAAUUUGCGUUCCUGUUGCACUGCCUGUGUUGGUAUGUAGAACAAAGGGAUCUUGGUGGGGAAUGACAUGGUGCGGAUUAUAAACAUGAGGAUGUGAGGUGUGACAAACUAUGGUGAAUGCUUCAAUUUAAAACUGCGUUACAGUAAAAGGCACAUGACCACUGCCCCCCACAGUCCUCACUUGACAUCACUCUUGCCGCUGUCUGAAGCACUUCUGGAAUCCUCUUCUGUGAGUGCCUUUAGCUGUGCAGCCAUGGCUGCCUCCAUGUCCUGGAUGGAUUCAAAAUGUUUCUUUCACGGUCGUUUUGUCUUUGGGAAGAGCCAGUGUCACAUGUUGCCCGAUCUGGUGGACAAGGUGGACGAGGACACACCAUCAUGUUCCAGUCUGCCUUUCCACUGGGUGGCUCGCAGCAGCAGCAUUCACUCUAUUUUUGAUCACCAAAGAGGACUUCCAUGAUUUCUCUGUCGUGGGCCAUUUGAGUGGCCCACAUCCCAGCCCCUGUCCUUCUGUCACAGGGCCCGUGCUGCUGGAGUUCCACUGAGGUGGGAUUCAGCAUGGGCAGAAAGCAGACCCUGAGCCACCCCGUCUUCCUCUGGGCCCUGCUGCUGCUGGCAGAGGCGCAGCCCCCACCCCAGCCCCUCUCCACGACCAAGAGAAAGCCAUUUUCCACCACAGGUAGCCGAGGCCUCCACCUGCAGACCCUGGCCCUGAGCAUUUUCCCAAGUCUCUUCCUCCAUUCCUUCUAGCGGUGAUGGAGCACUGUACACAAGGAAGUCCCUGGCGACCUCACUCCUGAGAGCCACCCUGCGCAAGUUACAAAGUGAGGCUCGCCCCAGAGAGCCAGGAGCAUCAGUGACUCCUGAAGACCUGGGGACAGCGUGACCUUGACUCUGAACAAGCGAGC